UGCAGUCGAACGGCAGCACGGAGCUUGCUCUGGUGGCGAGUGGCGAACGGGUGAGUAAUAUAUCGGAACGUACCCUAGAGUGGGGGAUAACGUAUCGAAAGUUACGCUAAUACCGCAUACGAUCUAAGGAUGAAAGUGGGGGAUCGCAAGACCUCAUGCUCGUGGAGCGGCCGAUAUCUGAUUAGCUAGUUGGUAGGGUAAAAGCCUACCAAGGCAUCGAUCAGUAGCUGGUCUGAGAGGACGACCAGCCACACUGGAACUGAGACACGGUCCAGACUCCUACGGGAGGCAGCAGUGGGGAAUUUUGGACAAUGGGCGAAAGCCUGAUCCAGCAAUGCCGCGUGAGUGAAGAAGGCCUUCGGGUUGUAAAGCUCUUUUGUCAGGGAAGAAACGGUGAAAGCUAAUAUCUUUUGCUAAUGACGGUACCUGAAGAAUAAGCACCGGCUAACUACGUGCCAGCAGCCGCGGUAAUACGUAGGGUGCAAGCGUUAAUCGGAAUUACUGGGCGUAAAGCGUGCGCAGGCGGUUUUGUAAGUCUGAUGUGAAAUCCCCGGGCUCAACCUGGGAAUUGCAUUGGAGACUGCAAGGCUAGAAUCUGGCAGAGGGGGGUAGAAUUCCACGUGUAGCAGUGAAAUGCGUAGAUAUGUGGAGGAACACCGAUGGCGAAGGCAGCCCCCUGGGUCAAGAUUGACGCUCAUGCACG
Molecule: ribosomal RNA, 703 nt
Filed under: uncultured bacterium
Lineage: Bacteria
Description: bacterial SSU rRNA
Rfam family: Bacterial small subunit ribosomal RNA
Source: RNAcentral